Solenopsis invicta (red fire ant) is the source of this 676-nucleotide long non-coding RNA. RefSeq lists it as uncharacterized. The record is from RefSeq and is a predicted model, not a curated record. The transcript is spliced from 3 exons. NCBI's taxonomy places the organism in Eukaryota, Metazoa, Arthropoda, Insecta, Hymenoptera, Formicidae.
AAGUAGUAAAGACAUUUUACAAGCUGUUCAGGAAUUGAACCUUCCGGUGCAAACUGUAGAACAGUUUCAGAUUUUAAUAAAAGAUGAAAAAGCAUUAUCCAUUUUGGAACGAUAUUUUAUCCUUCUUGGGGGACUGAACAUUUCAAAUGCAUUAGAUGGCUUCUUGAAGGCAAGUGUAACGGAUAAAUUAAUUAAGACAUCUUUUACAUGGAAAGAGGGUGAACAAAAAAUUCGGUUUCAGGAAACGCCUUUAAGUCUACGAUAUUAUGAUGCUCUUCGACAAAUUGAACAAUUUAAAAAUACCUCUAUUAAAGAGUUUGAAGUGGAAAUGCCAAAGUAAUAAAAAAUGCACAACAGCGUCACUACAUGGUUCAACAUAGAGUAAUGCAAGUAAGCUCCAGUGCUUUGCAACGAUCUAAAAUGGAAGAGGAGCUUGCGGCUAACUAUGCGUCAGCUGCCGCUCGUAAUCGACAGUAAUCGAGUAAUUAUCCUAACCCUUCGUAUGAUAUAAGCUAAUUAAUAUAAUACGUAUACAUAUAAUAUAAUACAUAUACUUUAUUUAUGUCAUUAAUAAUAUUUAUUGUGAUAUAAAUAAAUAACUGUAAUAAACAUCUGCACAUCUAACAUGAAAUAUAUAUACAAAUUGUGAUAAAAUAAAACUUAAAUAUAUAUUUUC